AACGCACAUUGCGCCCUCUAGCAUUCUGGAGGGCACGCCUGUCCGAGCGCCAUUUGAGACCUCGAGCCCCCGGGCUCGGUGUUGGGCGACGCCCGAGAGGGCCCGCCCCGAAAGCGUCGGCGCCGCCCGCCGGAACCCAGCGCACCGUGCCCAACCGCCCGCGCGAAUGUCCCGGGGGGUGGCCGCCCGAAGAUAGCGCCUGGCGCACCGAAGCAUGGCCUCGGAUCAGGCGGGGCUACCCGCUGAACUUAA
Molecule: unclassified non-coding RNA, 252 nt
Filed under: uncultured fungus
Lineage: Eukaryota; Fungi
Description: partial contains 5.8S ribosomal RNA, internal transcribed spacer 2, and large subunit ribosomal RNA
Source: RNAcentral